This is a non-coding RNA of Paramuricea clavata, 955 nucleotides long. The record is from the annotation of a GenBank genome assembly. Lineage: Eukaryota; Metazoa; Cnidaria; Anthozoa; Malacalcyonacea; Plexauridae.
GGUUUCUCGUGAAAUUUGAGUAAAACAAGCACUCGCUCUUCAGUUUUUCAAAGACAUCAAAAACUCACUCGUGCAUGUUUUAUCCAAAUUGCACUCGAAACAAUUCUAUCGGCCUAUUGGCUAUAGCCUACUACUAUGCUAGAAAGUAGGUACAUUAAUUAUAACUCUGGGGGCCGGUUGUAUAAAAAAGUGAUUAAAGUUAACUAUGAUUAAGUGCAAACGUCAUCCAAUAAGAAGCGCCAUUUGAGAGUUAAUCACUAUUUAACUACGAAAUAGUGAUUCAAAAAGAGAUUAAGAGUUUUAUACAACUGGCCCCUGAUAUGUAUCUACUCUUGUUAUAACGGUCCUCGUGUUCGUGUCACGUAAGCAAAUAAUUGCUUACAAACAAGAUUAACAAAUUAAUGUUAAGCAAAAAGCUUAGAACGUAUCGAGUCAGACUGAUUGUUCAAAGAUGGCUUCAGUUCCCUAAUGUAAAGCAUCUCGUAGAGAAGACACUCGUAGGCCUAUACUUUCCUCGACACUUGCACAAAACCAAUUUCGGUCCUUUUAUUCAUUCACUAGCUAUAUUUUUCGCGCGUAUAUCUACGUCUGAAAAACACUUAACUGGACUGUUCAAGCGCUUUCAAACACUGUUUUUUAUAAAUUCAAUGGCUUUCAAGACCUAAUCUUUUUCUAAAAAUUAUAGUGCUAUAAAAGUGGGACUACGCCGCAGACAGGAUUACGUCAAGAAAAGAUAUAAAGAAGAUUAAGACUGAGUCUGAAGAAGUUAACAUGGGCAGGUACUCACUAGGUAGGUAAAACUUUAUUUUACUACGCUAACCCCUACAGCAAAUUUACCCGAAAAAUUUAGAAAAAUAAACAUACAAAUACAGUUAAUUACAUGCAGUUAUUACAAUGACAUACAUAUUAAAUAGGUUAUAGUAAAUAUUAAUAGAUUAAAUAGAGAAGGUAAAUA